Molecule: ribosomal RNA, 494 nt
Filed under: uncultured bacterium
Lineage: Bacteria
Description: partial 16S ribosomal RNA
Rfam family: Bacterial small subunit ribosomal RNA
Source: RNAcentral
GACGAACGCUGGCGGCGUGCUUAACACAUGCAAGUCGAACGGAAAGGCCUGCUUUCCCUUGUGGAUUGCGGGUACUCGAGUGGCGAACGGGUGAGUAACACGUGAGUGAUCUGCCCCCAACUUGGGUAUAAGCCUGGGAAACUGGGUCUAAUUCCCGAUAGGACUGCAGGGUGGUGCCUGUGGUGGAAAACGAUUUUCUAGUGGUUGGGGAUGAGCUCGCGGCCUAUCAGCUUGUUGGUGGGGUAAUGGCCUACCAAGGCGGCGACGGGUAGCCGGCCUGAGAGGGUGGACGGCCACAUUGAGACUGAGAUACGGCCCAGGCUCCUACGGGAGGCAGCAGUGGGGAAUGUUGGACAAUGGGGGGAAGCCUGAUGCAGCGACGCCGCGUGGAGGAUGACGGCCUUCGGGUUGUAAGCUCCUUUCGACCGCGAGGAAGCCACCUGGUUGGAAGGGUGGUGACGGUAGUGGUAGAAGAAGCACCGGCUAACUACGUG